GUCUCCAGAGAUUUGCCCUCCAUGAAGCAGUGUGGAACAUGAGAGCACAUGCUGAAGAAGAGUGCACAGAUAGUCUGGGGGGAGAGAAGAUGCAAAACAUUACAGAACAGGCACCACAAAAUCCAGCUCAUGAUGUGGAAGACAAGAGAGGGCCAAGAGAUAAGCUAAGGAGUUGCACUGAACCUGAACCCAAACCAAAAACCAGCCUAGAGAGGUAUUUUUCAUGAGCCAUAACUGAACCAAAACUUAAAAUCUUUUGGCUGCCUUGAACCUGAACUGGAAAUGAACUCCUAAACACAAGAAGUGGAAACUGGUUUAAAAGAAGUGGUUCAAAUAACCAGGCCUUCAACUUUCAAGUUAAUGGUUAAUAUAUUCUUGUUUGUUUUUAUGUUCUUCUCUUUGUAAACAUCUUUAAAAUAAACACUAAACCUUUAUAAAAUA
Hemicordylus capensis (graceful crag lizard) is the source of this 441-nucleotide long non-coding RNA. RefSeq lists it as uncharacterized. The record is from RefSeq and is a predicted model, not a curated record. The transcript is spliced from 3 exons. NCBI's taxonomy places the organism in Eukaryota, Metazoa, Chordata, Lepidosauria, Squamata, Cordylidae.